Molecule: long non-coding RNA, 1413 nt
Organism: Setaria italica (foxtail millet)
Lineage: Eukaryota; Viridiplantae; Streptophyta; Magnoliopsida; Poales; Poaceae
Exons: 2
Source: RefSeq, a predicted model, not a curated record
ACAAUAAGUUUGGCACAUCUAGGUUGUCACACUGCAGAUGAAGAAAAGCUGGGAGAGUAGGCCGGGGUGGGUAGGUGAAGGUAGCAAUUCUUGUGGGCAGAGGUCCACCAUAACUCUCAGUCCCAAAUCAAGACCUCUUCGUCUUCUCUCUCUCCCUCUCCCCCGCAGUCCAGCACAGCGCAGUACUGCCGGGACAGCUCCCCGUUGGAAUCACUCUCCUCCAUAUAUGCAUACCCUCCCUUUCCUUCUCUUCUCCCUUCAUCUUGCUCAUACCCAAAAAGGCCAGAAAAGAUGAGAGAAAAGGGAGUAGUAGUGAGAGGAGAUGUGAGAGUGAGAGAGAGAGAGAGUACAGGUAGGAUCAAGAAGCCGUGAGAGAUUAAGAUCAAGGAAAAGUGGGCUACCUAGAGAGAGAGAUCAGGGAGCCUUUUCGUCUUUGAGGGGAAUGUUGUCUGGCUCGGGGGCGCCGCUCUUUCUCUGACCUGCUCCUUUCUCCUCCGAUCCAUCUCGCUCUUCCUCUCUCCUGGAGGUAGAGAGGAGAUCGAUCGAUGGGCAGGAGUGAGAGGAGAUGGGUGUAGAUCUCGGACCAGGCUUCAUUCCCCCCAAAAGGAAGGGCUCCCCAUGCUCUCUGCCUCCUUCAGAGCUCGUGUCCCAAGUUUUCUUGGGCAAAUCUGAACCGAGUAAGCUAGCUAAUCUGCUGAAAAUAUAUUGCACUUGUUUUUCCCCUCUCUGCAGUUCUCUUGGGCGUAUGGGUAGAAAGAAAUUUGGAUCUUGUGGCUGGGUGAGGCAUGGUGAAAGGCUGCAUGAGAUGCAGAUUGGUGUAAUGAUGGGUGGGCAUGACUGCAUGACUGACCAGUGGCCUGUUGCACACAUACCCAUGGCUAGCUCAUGUGGGGGAUCUUCUCUCCCUCUCUUUCCCUGCCAAUAAUUGGUGAUGACUGCUGGGAGAGAGGAGGUGAGGGAAAAGUUGCCAUCAUCACCUGCUGAUUAAUGGCCAUAUAUACAUCUUCUUCCCUAAUAAAUCGAUCCCUCCCAUCCCAUGCAUGCAAAUCCUUCCUCUAAAUCUGAUGGUUGGAGGCGUGUAUUCAGCCUACAAUAUUACAUUUUGGACAUCGGUAUCUAUUAUGUGAUAUAGCUCAUGACUAUAAAUCAAUGCGGCACUAAAUUGUAUUAUCUAAAGCCUCCAAGGAUGACAACUCAAGCUAGUAUUUGGAUAUUAUUUUUUUAAAUUUUCUCUCUUGUCUUUAUGUUCUUAUUAGUUCUUCCUUUGAACAUCGGGUCAUCGGUUGGUGCAAUAUGGUGGGCUACAUGUUCCCUGGGACAUGGGCUCGACCUCCUGAUGAUGGCGUUGCUCUACCGUUGUAAUGUUUGCGGAAGCUGGAUUUUUUUUUCAUUAUCUAAAAAGCUUAACUGUCA